Portunus trituberculatus (swimming crab) is the source of this 298-nucleotide long non-coding RNA. RefSeq lists it as uncharacterized. The transcript is spliced from 2 exons. Lineage: Eukaryota; Metazoa; Arthropoda; Malacostraca; Decapoda; Portunidae. The record is from RefSeq and is a predicted model, not a curated record.
GACCAGUGAGGGAGAGCAUAGCAGAGGUUAGCCGCGGCCGGAGCUCGUCUGCCGCCCCGCCCGCUACACCCUCCCAUUCUUUCCCCCAUAUCUCCCAUACCCGCGCCCGUAGACACAUGGGGGUGGUGUCUCCCAGGUGGACAUUGCAGGGGUAACUGAACAAAAUAACAGAAUUUCCGAGUUAAUUAACAUGUUUUCCACUGAACAACGAACGAAAAGUGGAGAAGAAAAGGAAGAUGAUGAAAGGAGGGAUGGAAGGAAGAAAUAAACAGGAAACAGCAAGAAAACAAGAAAAAAA